CAAAGCAAACAGAUAUAGCAUUUGUGCGUUUGAAUACUACAGCAUGGAAUAACAAAAUUGAACAAGUCAGAAUUUUUUUGUUCUUUUUUCUUAUUUUGGCUUAGUUACGAUUAAUAGGAGUAGCUUGGGGGCAUUUGUAUUCAGAUGUCAGAGGUGAAAUUCUUAGAUUUUCUGGAGACAAACAACUGCGAAAGCAUUUGCCUAAAAUACUUCCAUUAAUCAAGAACGAAAGUUAAGGGAGUGAAGACGAUCAGAUACCGUCGUAAUCUUAACCAUAAACUAUGCCGACUAGGCUUUGGAUGAAAGAUUUUAAAAUAAGAGUUUUUCUUUUCUCUCCGGAGAUUAGAACUCUUAGAUUGCUUCCUUCAGUGCCUUAUGAGAAAUCAAAGUCUUUGGGUUCUGGGGCGAGUAUUCGCGCAAGCGAGAAAGUUAAAAGAAUUGACGGAAGGGCACCACCAGGCGUGGAGCUUGCGGCUUAAUUUGACUCAACACGGGAAAACUCACUAGUUUAAGACAAGAGUAGGAUUGACAGAUUAAUAGCUCUUUCUUGAUUUCUUGGAUGGUGAUGCAUGGCCGUUUUUAGUUCGUGAAUAUGAUUUGUCUGGUUAAUUCCGAUACGAACGAGAUCUUAACCUGCUAAUUAGCGGCAA
RNAcentral lists this ribosomal RNA (650 nucleotides) under Plasmodium knowlesi. RNAcentral describes it as "SSU rRNA". It matches the Rfam family "Eukaryotic small subunit ribosomal RNA", at positions 776 to 1364 of the family's 1831-position model. The record is from RNAcentral. Lineage: Eukaryota; Apicomplexa; Aconoidasida; Haemosporida; Plasmodiidae.